UAGAAGUGUUAUGUAAAGAGAAUACUUAUAUUCUUUCAGCUUAUAUAUAUAAUUGCUAUUACUUGCUGGGCACUCAAAUGCUCAUCCUUGCUUAAACUAAAUGUUUUCAGUUACGUACGAUCGACCUGAAGGCUCAGGCAAGAACAAGGGAAAAGAAAAGCUAUUCGAAUGAGAUUUAGUAUGAGUUAAUGGUUAUAGUUAGUAAGACAAUGGAAUCUAUUGUCAGGUAUUGUAAGGAAUGUAUUUGAAGGUCACGUACCUGAGAAAGUAAACUUUGAUGUAUGUAAAUUAAGUUCGAAUUAUAUUAUUAUUUAGUAUUAUUCAGCUUAAAGAAAUGGUAUCGUGGAGAACUGAGUUCGGGUUUCAAGUAUCCGGAUUUGGGGUC
RNAcentral lists this long non-coding RNA (385 nucleotides) under Panax ginseng (ginseng). RNAcentral's name for it is "long non-coding RNA (PGIN_LNC007607)". The record is from RNAcentral. Lineage: Eukaryota; Viridiplantae; Streptophyta; Magnoliopsida; Apiales; Araliaceae.